Molecule: ribosomal RNA, 2897 nt
Filed under: Salmonella enterica subsp. enterica serovar Senftenberg
Lineage: Bacteria; Pseudomonadati; Pseudomonadota; Gammaproteobacteria; Enterobacterales; Enterobacteriaceae
Description: bacterial LSU rRNA
Rfam family: Bacterial large subunit ribosomal RNA
Source: RNAcentral
GACUAAGCGUACACGGUGGAUGCCCUGGCAGUCAGAGGCGAUGAAGGACGUGCUAAUCUGCGAUAAGCGCCGGUAAGGUGAUAUGAACCGUUAUAACCGGCGAUUUCCGAAUGGGGAAACCCAGUGUGAUUCGUCACACUAUCAUUAACUGAAUCCAUAGGUUAAUGAGGCGAACCGGGGGAACUGAAACAUCUAAGUACCCCGAGGAAAAGAAAUCAACCGAGAUUCCCCCAGUAGCGGCGAGCGAACGGGGAGGAGCCCAGAGCCUGAAUCAGCAUGUGUGUUAGUGGAAGCGUCUGGAAAGGCGCGCGAUACAGGGUGACAGCCCCGUACACAAAAGCGCAUGUGCUGUGAGCUCGAUGAGUAGGGCGGGACACGUGGUAUCCUGUCUGAAUAUGGGGGGACCAUCCUCCAAGGCUAAAUACUCCUGACUGACCGAUAGUGAACCAGUACCGUGAGGGAAAGGCGAAAAGAACCCCGGCGAGGGGAGUGAAAAAGAACCUGAAACCGUGUACGUACAAGCAGUGGGAGCACAGGUUUACCUGUGUGACUGCGUACCUUUUGUAUAAUGGGUCAGCGACUUAUAUUCUGUAGCAAGGUUAACCGAAUAGGGGAGCCGGAGGGAAACCGAGUCUUAAUUGGGCGUUAAGUUGCAGGGUAUAGACCCGAAACCCGGUGAUCUAGCCAUGGGCAGGUUGAAGGUUGGGUAACACUAACUGGAGGACCGAACCGACUAAUGUUGAAAAAUUAGCGGAUGACCUGUGGCUGGGGGUGAAAGGCCAAUCAAACCGGGAGAUAGCUGGUUCUCCCCGAAAGCUAUUUAGGUAGCGCCUCGUGAAUUCAUCUCCGGGGGUAGAGCACUGUUUCGGCUAGGGGGCCAUCCCGGCUUACCAACCCGAUGCAAACUGCGAAUACCGGAGAAUGUUAUCACGGGAGACACACGGCGGGUGCUAACGUCCGUCGUGAAGAGGGAAACAACCCAGACCGCCAGCUAAGGUCCCAAAGUCAUGGUUAAGUGGGAAACGAUGUGGGAAGGCCCAGACAGCCAGGAUGUUGGCUUAGAAGCAGCCAUCAUUUAAAGAAAGCGUAAUAGCUCACUGGUCGAGUCGGCCUGCGCGGAAGAUGUAACGGGGCUAAACCAUGCACCGAAGCUGCGGCAGCGACACUGUGUGUUGUUGGGUAGGGGAGCGUUCUGUAAGCCUGUGAAGGUGGCCUGUGAGGGUUGCUGGAGGUAUCAGAAGUGCGAAUGCUGACAUAAGUAACGAUAAAGCGGGUGAAAAGCCCGCUCGCCGGAAGACCAAGGGUUCCUGUCCAACGUUAAUCGGGGCAGGGUGAGUCGACCCCUAAGGCGAGGCCGAAAGGCGUAGUCGAUGGGAAACGGGUUAAUAUUCCCGUACUUGGUGUUACUGCGAAGGGGGGACGGAGAAGGCUAUGUUGGCCGGGCGACGGUUGUCCCGGUUUAAGCGUGUAGGCUGGUUUUCCAGGCAAAUCCGGAAAAUCAAGGCUGAGGCGUGACGACGAGGCACUACGGUGCUGAAGCAACAAAUGCCCUGCUUCCAGGAAAAGCCUCUAAGCAUCAGGUAACAUCAAAUCGUACCCCAAACCGACACAGGUGGUCAGGUAGAGAAUACCAAGGCGCUUGAGAGAACUCGGGUGAAGGAACUAGGCAAAAUGGUGCCGUAACUUCGGGAGAAGGCACGCUGACACGUAGGUGAAGUGAUUUACUCAUGGAGCUGAAGUCAGUCGAAGAUACCAGCUGGCUGCAACUGUUUAUUAAAAACACAGCACUGUGCAAACACGAAAGUGGACGUAUACGGUGUGACGCCUGCCCGGUGCCGGAAGGUUAAUUGAUGGGGUCAGCGCAAGCGAAGCUCCUGAUCGAAGCCCCGGUAAACGGCGGCCGUAACUAUAACGGUCCUAAGGUAGCGAAAUUCCUUGUCGGGUAAGUUCCGACCUGCACGAAUGGCGUAAUGAUGGCCAGGCUGUCUCCACCCGAGACUCAGUGAAAUUGAACUCGCUGUGAAGAUGCAGUGUACCCGCGGCAAGACGGAAAGACCCCGUGAACCUUUACUAUAGCUUGACACUGAACAUUGAGCCUUGAUGUGUAGGAUAGGUGGGAGGCUUUGAAGUGUGGACGCCAGUCUGCAUGGAGCCGACCUUGAAAUACCACCCUUUAAUGUUUGAUGUUCUAACGUGGACCCGUAAUCCGGGUUGCGGACAGUGUCUGGUGGGUAGUUUGACUGGGGCGGUCUCCUCCUAAAGAGUAACGGAGGAGCACGAAGGUUGGCUAAUCCUGGUCGGACAUCAGGAGGUUAGUGCAAUGGCAUAAGCCAGCUUGACUGCGAGCGUGACGGCGCGAGCAGGUGCGAAAGCAGGUCAUAGUGAUCCGGUGGUUCUGAAUGGAAGGGCCAUCGCUCAACGGAUAAAAGGUACUCCGGGGAUAACAGGCUGAUACCGCCCAAGAGUUCAUAUCGACGGCGGUGUUUGGCACCUCGAUGUCGGCUCAUCACAUCCUGGGGCUGAAGUAGGUCCCAAGGGUAUGGCUGUUCGCCAUUUAAAGUGGUACGCGAGCUGGGUUUAGAACGUCGUGAGACAGUUCGGUCCCUAUCUGCCGUGGGCGCUGGAGAACUGAGGGGGGCUGCUCCUAGUACGAGAGGACCGGAGUGGACGCAUCACUGGUGUUCGGGUUGUCAUGCCAAUGGCACUGCCCGGUAGCUAAAUGCGGAAGAGAUAAGUGCUGAAAGCAUCUAAGCACGAAACUUGCCCCGAGAUGAGUUCUCCCUGAGACUUAGAGUCUCCUGAAGGAACGUUGAAGACGACGACGUUGAUAGGCCGGGUGUGUAAGCGCAGCGAUGCGUUGAGCUAACCGGUACUAAUGAACCGUGAGGCUUAACCUU